UGUAGGCUAUAUUAUAUGGAUUUAAUGUGAAGGUGUAUGCUAUAUUACAUGGAUAUAUUGUGAUGGUGUAAGCUAUAUUACAUGGAUUUAUUGUGAAGGUGUAGACUAUAUUACAUGGAUUUAUUGUGAAGGUGUAGGCUAUAUUACAUGGAUUUAUUGUGAAGGUGUUGACUAUAUUACAUGGAUUUAUUGUGAAGGUGUUGACUAUAUUACAUGGAUUUAUUGUGAAGGUGUAGGCUAUAUUACAUGGAUUUAUUGUGAAGGUGUUGACUAUAUUACAUGGAUUUAUUGUGAAGGUGUAGGCUAUAUUACAUGGAUUUAUUGUGAAGGUGUUGACUAUAUUACAUGGAUUUAUUGUGAAGGUGUAGGCUAUAUUACAUGGAUUUAUUGUGAAGGUGUUGACUAUAUUACAUGGAUUUAUUGUGAAGGUGUAGGCUAUAUUACAUGGAUUUAUUGUGAAGGUGUUGACUAUAUUACAUGGAUUUAUUGUGAAGGUGUUGACUAUAUUACAUGGAUUUAUUGUGAAGGUGUAGGCUAUAUUACAUGGAUUUAUUGUGAAGGUGUAGGCUAUAUUACAUGGAUUUAUUGUGAAGGUGUUGACUAUAUUACAUGGAUUUAUUGUGAAGGUGUAGGCUAUAUUACAUGGAUUUAUUGUGAAGGUGUAGGCUAUAUUACAUGGAUUUAUUGUGAAGGUGUUGACUAUAUUACAUGGAUUUAUUGUGAAGGUGUAGGCUAUAUUACAUGGAUUUAUUGUGAAGGUGUUGACUAUAUUACAUGGAUUUAUU
Molecule: long non-coding RNA, 785 nt
Organism: Oncorhynchus keta (chum salmon)
Lineage: Eukaryota; Metazoa; Chordata; Actinopteri; Salmoniformes; Salmonidae
Exons: 3
Source: RefSeq, a predicted model, not a curated record